Molecule: ribosomal RNA, 1738 nt
Filed under: Montanelia disjuncta
Lineage: Eukaryota; Fungi; Ascomycota; Lecanoromycetes; Lecanorales; Parmeliaceae
Description: eukaryotic LSU rRNA
Rfam family: Eukaryotic large subunit ribosomal RNA
Source: RNAcentral
GUACCCGCUGAACUUAAGCAUAUCAAUAAGCGGAGGAAAAGAAACCAACAGGGAUUGCCUCAGUAACGGCGAGUGAAGCGGCAACAGCUCAAAUUUGAAAUCUGGCCCCUUCGGGGUCCGAGUUGUAAUUUGUAGAGAGUGUUUCGGGUGAGACCACGGUCUAAGUCCAUUGGAACAUGGCGUCAUAGAGGGUGAGAAUCCCGUAUGUGACUGUGGCUCGAACCCAUGUGAAGCCUCUUCGACGAGUCGAGUUGUUUGGGAAUGCAGCUCAAAAUGGGUGGUAAAUUUCAUCUAAAGCUAAAUAUUGGCUGGAGACCGAUAGCGCACAAGUAGAGUGAUCGAAAGAUGAAAAGCACUUUGGAAAGAGAGUCAAACAGUACGUGAAAUUGUUGAAAGGGAAGCGCUUGCAACCAGACCUGUCCGUAGGUGAUCAGCCGCUGUUCUCAGUGGUGCACUCGCUCUGCGAUCAGGCCAGCAUCGGUUUCGGCGGCCGGAUAAAGGCCUUGGGAAUGUAGCUUCCCUUCGGGGGAGUCUUAUAGCCCUCGGUGCAAUGCGGCCAGCCGGGACCGAGGACCGCGCUUCGGCUAGGAUGCUGGCGUAAUGGUUGUAAGCGACCCGUCUUGAAACACGGACCAAGGAGUCUAACAUCUAUGCGAGUGUUUGGGUGUCAAACCCAUGCGCGGAAUGAAAGUGAACGGAGGUGAGAACCCUUAAGGGCGCAUCAUCGACCGAUCCAGAUGUCUUCGGAUGGAUUUGAGUAUGAGCAUAGCUGUUGGGACCCGAAAGGUACGUUACAUUUUAUUUCCUCCCCAACUCCUAAAUAGAUAGAAUUCAAGCUAAUAUACUUUACAGAUGGUGAACUAUGCCUGAAUAGGGUGAAGCCAGAGGAAACUCUGGUGGAGGCUCGCAGCGGUUCUGACGUGCAAAUCGAUCGUCAAAUUUGGGUAUAGGGGCGAAAGACUAAUCGAACCAUCUAGUAGCUGGUUCCUGCCGAAGUUUCCCUCAGGAUAGCAGUAACGUUUUCAGUUUUAUGAGGUAAAGCGAAUGAUUAGAGGCCUUGGGGUUGAAACAACCUUAACCUAUUCUCAAACUUUAAAUAUGUAAGAAGUCCUUGUUGCUUAGUUGAACGUGGACAUUUGAAUGCACCGUUACUAGUGGGCCAUUUUUGGUAAGCAGAACUGGCGAUGCGGGAUGAACCGAACGCGAGGUUAAGGUGCCGGAAUGUACGCUCAUCAGACACCACAAAAGGUGUUGAUUCAUCUAGACAGCCGGACGGUGGCCAUGGAAGUCGGAACCCGCUAAGGAAUGUGCGACACUACACGCGANCGCAUCCAUAACAUCAAANUUGGUACAUGUUCCUUACAGGAUAUAUUUCCUAGAGACCGAANAUGAAACUUUCCCGUCUCCAUCGCUCCAAAGUCGUGAGUUAUAUCACGAGCCAUACCGGACCUUCGGGGUGAACGGGAUGGUCUACAGACUUAACAGAACGAGUCUCUUGGUUGCGGAGAUUUUGAUAUAGUCGAGUCCGUAUCCGUAGUGGAUACGGCGUCCACGGUGUAACAACUCACCGGCCGAAUGAAUCAGCCCUGAAAAUGGAUGGCGCUCAAGCGUGCUACCCAUACCUCGCCGCCAGGGUAGAAACGAUGCCCUGGCGAGUAGGCAGGCGUGGGGGUCAGUAACGAAGCCUUGGGAGUGAUCCCGGGUAGAACGGCCCCUAGUGCAGAUCUUGGUGGUAGUA